This 483-nucleotide ribosomal RNA is filed under the name Triticum aestivum (bread wheat). RNAcentral describes it as "partial small subunit ribosomal RNA". The record is from RNAcentral. Lineage: Eukaryota; Viridiplantae; Streptophyta; Magnoliopsida; Poales; Poaceae.
CCUGACCUUAAGCCGAUUGAUGUUCCUGAAUCGCGGCAUAAGGGCGGACUGGAUGGAAAAGGCAUGCUAGGAGGGGAACAAAUAAUAUGUAUGGACGGACUUUCUCUCACUGAAGCACACUACACAGUUCUACAGAAUUCUGCCUUGGUGGCUCCAUAUAUGGAUGAACACAAGAAUUUGCUACGCUCAAAACACCUAGAGCGGUCUGAUGACUGGAUUACACGUGAACAAACCAGGAGUUUCGCCAGCUGGUUGCAGACACGUACCAUGCAUGACACCUCUAUUGAAGAUGACAUGUACUUGCUGUCCCAGUUACCAUCUUCGAAUAUAAUGACUUUCAAAGGGUACGAGAUAAAUGGUAAUACAUUUUACACGAUCGCCCAAGAUAAGAAGAGCACCAACCAAAACAGUGGUGUCCGCUUUGAUGCAGAAACCAAGACGGGAAAGGAAACAUAUUAUGGUUAUAUACAGGAUAUAUGGGAU